AGCGAACGCUGGCGGCAGGCUUAACACAUGCAAGUCGAGCGGACCUUUCGGGGUCAGCGGCGGACGGGUGAGUAACGCGUGGGAACGUGCCUUCCGGUUCGGAAUAACCCUGGGAAACUAGGGCUAAUACCGGAUACGCCCUUAUGGGGAAAGGUUUACUGCCGGAAGAUCGGCCCGCGUCUGAUUAGCUAGUUGGUGGGGUAACGGCCUACCAAGGCGACGAUCAGUAGCUGGUCUGAGAGGAUGAUCAGCCACACUGGGGCUGAGACACGGCCCAGACUCCUACGGGAGGCAGCAGUGGGGAAUAUUGGACAAUGGGCGCAAGCCUGAUCCAGCCAUGCCGCGUGAGUGAUGAAGGCCUUAGGGUUGUAAAGCUCUUUUAUCCGGGACGAUAAUGACGGUACCGGAGGAAUAAGCCCCGGCUAACUUCGUGCCAGCAGCCGCGGUAAUACGAAGGGGGCUAGCGUUGCUCGGAAUCACUGGGCGUAAAGGGCGCGUAGGCGGCGUUUUAAGUCGGGGGUGAAAGCCUGUGGCUCAACCACAGAAUGGCCUUCGAUACUGGGACGCUUGAGUAUGGUAGAGGUUGGUGGAACUGCGAGUGUAGAGGUGAAAUUCGUAGAUAUUCGCAAGAACACCGGUGGCGAAGGCGGCCAACUGGACCAUUACUGACGCUGAGGCGCGAAAGCGUGGGGAGCAGACAGG
RNAcentral lists this ribosomal RNA (702 nucleotides) under uncultured Methylobacterium sp. RNAcentral's name for it is "bacterial SSU rRNA". It matches the Rfam family "Bacterial small subunit ribosomal RNA", at positions 28 to 776 of the family's 1533-position model. Lineage: Bacteria; Pseudomonadati; Pseudomonadota; Alphaproteobacteria; Hyphomicrobiales; Methylobacteriaceae. The record is from RNAcentral.